Molecule: ribosomal RNA, 391 nt
Filed under: uncultured bacterium
Lineage: Bacteria
Description: bacterial SSU rRNA
Rfam family: Bacterial small subunit ribosomal RNA
Source: RNAcentral
AGUGAACGCUGGCGGCAGGCCUAAUACAUGCAAGUCGAACGGCAGCACAGCAGAGCUUGCUCUGUGGGUGGCGAGUGGCGGACGGGUGAGGAAUACGUGGGAAUCUGCCCAGUCGUGGGGGAUAACGUAGGGAAACUUACGCUAAUACCGCAUGCGCCCUUCGGGGGAAAGCCGGGGGACCUUCGGGCCUGGCGCGAUUGGAUGAGCCCACGUCGGAUUAGCUAGUUGGCGGGGUAAAGGCCCACCAAGGCGACGAUCCGUAGCUGGUCUGAGAGGAUGAUCAGCCACACUGGAACUGAGACACGGUCCAGACUCCUACGGGAGGCAGCAGUAGGGAAUAUUGGACAAUGGGCGCAAGCCUGAUCCAGCCAUGCCGCGUGAGUGAAGAAGG